Molecule: ribosomal RNA, 93 nt
Rfam family: Bacterial small subunit ribosomal RNA
Source: Rfam
UAAUUUAAGAGUUUGAUCCUGGCUCAGGAUGAACGCUGGCGGCGUGCUUAACACAUGCAAGUCGAGCGGAGAUAUGAAAUCUGAGAGCUUCGG